AUGUUUCUCUGCCUCCAUCCAACUAGGGCUCUUUUGUGUGUGCAGGACAAUCCCAACGAUUGUCCAUUCAUUUCAUCCGUCGUGUACAUCUUGGAGAACGGAAGUGCCAAACUUCAUGUCCCGAACCAACCGGUAUAUUCUGCACCUACGAAUAGCAAAGUAGAGCAUGCAACAGGCAAUACUCAAAAUUCAAAGAAUAUGCCAACUUACAGUUCUAGAGAGAAGAUAGGCCAGUUAUCACAUUACAAGAUAUUUUGUAUAGGGGGGCUCAGAUCAGAUAGUUGCAAAGGUGGUUGGUUAUGGGUGUACAUUCCAUUUCCAGCUCCAUUAGGCUUUGUUCGGUUACACCUCCUCACAGCGGGAUUGGGGUGGAUUGGAGGAGGUUUUGACUUGUGGAGGGUGCAAUCCCUGCCAAUCCCUGCCAAACCCCUCCAUUUUCCCUGUCAACCGAACAGGCCCUUAUUCAUGUUGCUAACCCUCUUUCUUUUUAUACUCCAUUGUUCAUGCUCCUAA
RNAcentral lists this ribosomal RNA (513 nucleotides) under Triticum aestivum (bread wheat). RNAcentral describes it as "partial small subunit ribosomal RNA". Lineage: Eukaryota; Viridiplantae; Streptophyta; Magnoliopsida; Poales; Poaceae. The record is from RNAcentral.